CUUGUGAGGUCUAUAAAUAGCUUUGUACAUAACACGACAGUGUAAAUUUCAGUUCACACCGAAAACCUAGCAGUACUGGAGUGAGUUGAAGCUUGUUAACAAGUUCUUACAUCCAGAGACAGACACAAAUAUGGGGUCACAGAAAUCACUUGAUUGGAUAGUCGACUUAGACAAUGCGCAUGAUCCAAAAUAUGGGGAGCCAUUUCGAGUACCAAUCGUAGCAGCCACCAAUGAAAACUUCAAAGAAUACGGCAAUUUAGUUACAGACUUUGACGUCGAAGAGGUUGAAAUCGUCCCAUGGCCUGUAAUGGGCAGACGGCCAUUAUGCAAUGGAACAGGCAUAUUUGGCGGGGUCGCUGAAGGAGACUUCCUUCAUGAAUGGGUUGGUGACAAAUGUAAAGCUAAAAGUACGGCGAUCGGUUGGGGGUCGACAGUGAUUUUUUCAUAUGUCGAUUAGGAAAAGGCGUCGAUCCGGACCGCAAGACAAGGGUUUUGGUUCGGGAAGCAAAUAAUCACCCCGACGGAAGUCAGUGUUUCUUUCCAAAGGAAAAACUUCCAUUUGUGGCGCUGUUUGCUCUUCCUGGCGAUGACGUCAAGUUAGAAGAUUUCAUGGCGUUCUACUCGGAUGGGGGUUUCGGAUUUCAUAUUCGACCGAGCGUUUGGCAUCAGCCCAUGAUUCCUGUGAGUCAGAAAGCGGUGUUUAGGAACAAACAAGGCGCUGUCCACGCAUGCGUUGGUCUCGAUACCGUCAAUGAGUUUGGGAGAUUUCUCUCUGUUCCUCUCAAAAUUGACAAUGAGGAGUGAUCCAGAUUGACAUCGCAACAAUAAAAUCAUUGAGCUACGAUUUAUGUAUUGUAGAUUAAUAUAUUGUAGAUUUAUAUAUUGUAGAUUAAUAUAUUGUAGAUUUAUAUAUUGUAGAUUAAUAUAUUGUAGAUUUAUGUAUUGUAGAUUUAUGUAUGGUAGAUUUAUGUAUGGUAGAUUUAUAUAUUGUAGAUUGAUAUAUUGUAGAUUUACAUAUUGUAGAUUUAUAUAUUGUAGAUUUAUGUAUUGUAGAUUUAUAUAUUGUAGAUUUAUGUAUUGUAGAUUUAUAUAUUGUAGAUUUAUAUAUUGUAGAUUUAUGUAUUGUAGAUUUAUAUAUUGUAGAUUUAUAUAUUGUAGAUUUAUGUAUUGUAGAUUUGUAGAUUUAUGUAUUGUAGAUUUAUGUAUUGUAGAUUUAUGUAUUGUAGAUUUAUAAUUGUUUUAAACAUGUCCUAUUGUCAAAACAGACAAAUGGAUGAGAGACAAAUUCUAACGACUCACAAGCUCUUCUCCUCGAGAUUCGAUAGACUCGUUGGUACACUCACGCGCAUUCACACGUGUAUAUGAAUAUUUCUCAUACUGCUUAACAAUCCAAUCCAGUGUUAAUAGCUUUGUUAUGUUUGAAAUCAUUAUCUCUUGAGAGAAAAAAAAUGCAUAGAUAUAACAUGUUGUCCAAUUUCCAUAAAAUCGCUUUAUUCAACAAAAUAUACUGAAAUGAAUUGUGUAAAGAUAAAAUGGUUCAUUUUCAUUUACGUAUUACUACCUAGAGCACCAUAAUCAUUCCUCUAACCAAUAAACAUUUAGAGAAUUGAGGUUAUUUUCAUCCUUAUUUUUUAAAUGUUUUCCAAAAAUAAAAAUAAAAUGUAAAUUUCGAGUAAAUUUGCACGGAAGGCAUAACAAUUGUUUUUAACAAAGCUAAAGAUCAAUCAUGUCAAAUUUUCAUGACAACCGGGUCAUUAUUUUCUGGACGUGUCGCAACCCCUUAAAUAUCUUCUCUUCUACAUAACCAAAUAGGAUAAACAACAUAAAUACAACAACUGUAUUUCACAGCGACAAAGACACUGACUGAAUAUUUUCUGGACGUGUCGCAACCCCUUAAGUAUCUUAUAUUGUUAUAGCGUUGUGCCAACAGUAGUCUAGGGGAGACAAACCAUAUACAUGUGUAUAUAGAUAUGGUAAAGAGUUGCUCUGCAUUACCUAUUAAACGUCUCUGCCCUGUUUCAGGACAGCCGGGGUAAUCCUAUAUUAUCUAUUAAAAAAAUCAAACAAUGAACAUUUA
Long non-coding RNA from Pecten maximus, 2077 nucleotides. RefSeq lists it as uncharacterized. Lineage: Eukaryota; Metazoa; Mollusca; Bivalvia; Pectinida; Pectinidae. The transcript is spliced from 2 exons. The record is from RefSeq and is a predicted model, not a curated record.